UGUCCCGCAGGUGGGAACACUCCACAGUAACACAUUGCCUUAAAAAAAUAAAGCAAUUAACCCUCCUCCAGCAAGGUGCACCUGGACAGCCUGAUGUAUGCAGCUGCCCCACUGUAUUCACUCUGAUUUUCCUGCAGGAUGGACGAUGGUUUCCCAAGUGCCAUCGGGGACCUUGCAAGCUGCAGAUGUAGAGGAGGAGCAAUGACUUGGCCCUCCCUUUGGUAUGCUGCGGUGUGCAUCCCUGGGUCUUUUGUGCUGCAAAUUGCAAGCCUGCUGCCAGGUGAUGGAAGUGCCUGCUGGGAUGGAGGGACAGGGAGCAAGGAGCAGUGUGUGUCCCUGCCUGCUGCAGUGGCUGCUGCAGGCUGGUGUCCUGCAUGGCACUGGUAACAAGUAAAAUCACUGGGCUGGGACUGCCACAGCAACUCUGCCGAGGAACCAGCUGUCUUAGCUCUUUUAUAAAGCUGAUUUUAUUUGCUUCAUCCUGCCUAUCUGCUCUGCCUCUAAAGAGGGGCAGAACAACAUCAGCAGAGGCUGCAUUGUAAAAUCCAGCCACACUGACCACAGACAAUUUUGAUUAUUCAUCUUGCAGGAGUGCUAUUUAUCAGUAUUAACCUCGCACUGUCAUCAGAAGAUGUUCCUGCAGCCCUCUGAAAGUACCUGGCCACGUGUAAUGUGCCGCAUACAAAUAAAUGCCAUUGUAAAUGUCGAGUCAUACAGGAAGGUAAAUAAAUUGGCUUCCUGGGCUCAUUAGAGCUGAAAGCUAAGGGUUUUGUAGCAGGAUGAAGAGAAUUGCACAACGUGGUUCCAUAUGGCUUAUGAAAUGUGUAUGAAAACCAUUUUCUCCUACCCAUCCUAAUUAUGAUAUAUAAAUAGAUUUACUAUUUUCCUUUGAGUACUUACUUAGUUGAAUUUAUAUUUUUUUUAAAGGCCAAUGUAAUCACUUGUAUGAUGCAUUUCUCUAGGCCCUUAAUAGUUCUCUAAAUCAAAAUGUAAUUAUUUAUAGCAAUAACAUGACCUUUCACUAAUUGGGAAAGAAAAUGUUGCACAAUGGGUGACAGCUGUCAUGAGUGCUCAGCACUGUUAGAAGUUAUUUUGUCAUUUGGCUUUAAGUCGUAGCUGGGAUAGGUGUUUAAGUAAUGUGUAAUAAACUUUGAGAUUGUUAUGUGUGUUUAUGAGCUUUGGUGAGAAUCUGAGUGUGCUCAUGGAAGGAGAGCCAUGCGUGUGGCUCGCAGCUCAGCAGAAGGGCCGGCAGCAGACUGAAACCCAAGUGCUGUUUUAAAUGAUAUAUAAAUAACAAGUGUUAAGAGAGCAGACGUGGGCCAGCAGUGCCAGCCGGGGCCAAACUCUGUCUUUCCUAAAGUCUCAUGCCAACAGGAGGAGAAACAGAGCUGGAGGAGGCAGUAAGGACAAGACACAUCUCAAAUACAAAUCUUUUUAUUAUUCAACAUUGAGACCUCAGGGCUGAUGUUUUGGACCUCGUUGUACCAGAUACCACAGACGCAGCACAUAUGGCAGCCCUGGCUCUAGAUAGUAAGGAGAGACAGGCUACAGGACCAACAGGCACCACAAACACAGGGUGCCCCUGCCCUCCCGACCUGGCAGCAGCAGGCUGGGAGCAGUGGAAGAACUGGAGUAUGUGGGCCUACAUGAGGCAACACAGUAAACAACAGCCAGAGACAGAAUAAGUGAGUCACUCUCCUAGCGUAUUUGAAUACUGUUUAAAUAUAAACAUUGCAAAUGAAUAUCUCUAACUGAGAAAAAAAAAAUAAAAUUGGUUGCAAAAAUACACCAAUGGUAUACUGUAUAUGCAUAUAAAUACAUCGCAUGGUCUGCACAGUCAUUACAGUGUCUUCCUUCCAGACCGACUUUCUACAGGCUGAUACAGAAGUUGAAAUAAAGAAAAACAGAAGGGAAAGGUCUUCAGUGAAACACAUGUUGUUUUGGCAAAUGAUUCAUUUCCCCCCC
This is a long non-coding RNA of Anas platyrhynchos (mallard), 1965 nucleotides long. RefSeq lists it as uncharacterized. NCBI's taxonomy places the organism in Eukaryota, Metazoa, Chordata, Aves, Anseriformes, Anatidae. The record is from RefSeq and is a predicted model, not a curated record.